This 460-nucleotide ribosomal RNA is filed under the name uncultured bacterium. RNAcentral describes it as "partial 16S ribosomal RNA". It matches the Rfam family "Bacterial small subunit ribosomal RNA", at positions 338 to 795 of the family's 1533-position model. The record is from RNAcentral.
CCUACGGGCGGCAGCAGUGAGGAAUAUUGGUCAAUGGACGAAAGUCUGAACCAGCCAAGUAGCGUGAAGGAGGACUGCCCAAUGGGUUGUAGACUUCUUUUGUAAGGGAAUAAAACGAGGCACGUGUGCCUUUUUGCAUGUACUUGAUGAAUAAGGAUCGGCUAACUCCGUGCCAGCAGCCGCGGUAAUACGGAGGAUCCGAGCGUUAUCCGGAUUUAUUGGGUUUAAAGGGAGCGUAGAUGGGUUGUUAAGUCAGUUGUGAAAGUUUGGGGCUCAACCGUAAAAUUGCAAUUGAUACUGGCAGUCUUGAGUACAGUGGAGGUAGGCGGAAUUCGUGGUGUAGCGGUGAAAUGCUUAGAUAUCACGAAGAACCCCGAUUGCGAAGGCAGCUUACUAAACUGUGACUGACAUUGAUGCUCGAAAGUGUGGGUAUCGAACAGGAUUAGAUACCCCAGUAGUC